UAUGGCUGGUGGGUAGGAGAAAUGCAGGGAGCCAUUGGCUUGGUGCCUAAAGCCUACCUAAUGGAGAUGUAUGAUAUUUGAGAGUCUGGAAGUCUGUCCAUCUGCAAGCGCUUUGGAACACAGACUGCCUGGAGCCACCUUCCUUUGGGAGACCUUCCUGCCUCAGCUGUCGUCCUGUGUCGUCAUUCACUAAAGCUCCUGACGUCAGAUUAAGCAAGCAGUGAUGGGUUACAUUAGAGACAAGCCGCAGAGAUAAGGCCUGUUGCUGUUUCGCAGAUAAUGAUGAGUUUUAAUUUACCCACUGGUUUGUAUGGGGAAUUCAUUGUGAUUGUAUCUGAAUCUUAGUCAUUGAAGCCACCACUGAAGGUUGCUGUUUCUCGUAGUCACUGGGUUAUUUUUAGAGUGCCACAUAUAAUUUCCUAAACUUUGUACAUUUUGAGUCAAUAAUAAAGACUUCGUUAAAGCUGU
RNAcentral lists this long non-coding RNA (468 nucleotides) under Rattus norvegicus (Norway rat). Its description in RNAcentral is "long non-coding RNA NONRATT021429". Lineage: Eukaryota; Metazoa; Chordata; Mammalia; Rodentia; Muridae. The record is from RNAcentral.